GAUUCUCCCAGUAACGGCGAGUGAACGGAGAUUAGCCCAUCACCGAAGUCUAUUCACGUUUGUGGACAGGACAAUGUGGUGUUAAGGCGUGCUCCUGGGAUCGUUGACCUGUCCCAAGUCCAACCUCGAUUGCGGCUGGCAUGUUGUCCAUAGCGGGUGAAAGACCCGUUUGGGCAGGUUGUUUGUGCUACGAUCCCUAGAUGGGUAUGCUGUCGAGUCGGAUUGCUUGAGAAUGCAGUCCAAAGUGGGUGGUAAACUCCAUCCAAGGCUAAAUACUGGCACGAGUCCGAUAGUAGACAAGUACCGUGAGGGAAAGUUGAAAAGUACUCUGAAGAGAGAGUAAAUAGUACGUGAAACCGCUUGCAGGGAAUCAGGUGGAGUCAAGCUUCAUGCUUGGAGGAUUGUUAUCCGAUCUAUAUCGUGUCGGGACAUGAGGCGUUGCAACUUGGAAUGAGUUGGGUGCACCCGUUGCACUUCAAGUCUACCGGGUAGCUGGAUUGUACUACGCCGCUAUCUCCCAGAUCGGAUGCCGAAUCUUCCUGUGCAUGGGUCACGGUUGGUGGCAAGUGUGUGCUAUGAUCGUCUAACAGUGUUCAUGCUAGCUUCUGCUGGCUGAGCAUUGGAUGGGAGGUGGCGCAGGCAGUCUGACUGUCCUGUGCUUAUUGCGGUUUCGACCGGCUGUUGAUCAUGGGGUCAUAUCCUUGCUAUCUGGUGGUAUGGUGGUCGAGCUACAUGCUCGAUGGCCUAUCAAGGCCGUGAUUCUUAUGAAGACGUUCCAUCUGACC
Molecule: ribosomal RNA, 785 nt
Filed under: Pseudohaliotrema sphincteroporus
Lineage: Eukaryota; Metazoa; Platyhelminthes; Monogenea; Dactylogyridea; Ancyrocephalidae
Description: partial large subunit ribosomal RNA
Rfam family: Eukaryotic large subunit ribosomal RNA
Source: RNAcentral